GCCUAUCAGCUUGUUGGUGAGGUAACGGCUCACCAAGGCGACGACGGGUAGCCGGCCUGAGAGGGUGACCGGCCACACUGGGACUGAGACACGGCCCAGACUCCUACGGGAGGCAGCAGUGGGGAAUAUUGCACAAUGGGCGCAAGCCUGAUGCAGCAACGCCGCGUGAGGGACGACGGCCUUCGGGUUGUAAACCUCUUUUAGUAGGGAAGAAGCGAAAGUGACGGUACCUGCAGAAAAAGCACCGGCUAACUACGUGCCAGCAGCCGCGGUAAUACGUAGGGUGCAAGCGUUGUCCGGAAUUAUUGGGCGUAAAGAGCUCGUAGGCGGUCUGUCGCGUCUGCUGUGAAAACCCGAGGCUCAACCUCGGGCCUGCAGUGGGUACGGGCAGACUAGAGUGCGGUAGGGGAGAUUGGAAUUCCUGGUGUAGCGGUGGAAUGCGCAGAUAUCAGGAGGAACACCGAUGGCGAAGGCAGAUCUCUGGGCCGUAACUGACGCUGAGGAGCGAAAGCGUGGGGAGCGAACAGGAUUAGGUACCCUGGUAGUCCACGCCGUAAACGUUGGGCGCUAGAUGUGGGGACCAUUCCACGGUUUCCGUAUCGCAGUUAACGCAUUAAGCGCCCCGCCUGGGGAGUACGGCCGCAAGGCUA
Molecule: ribosomal RNA, 650 nt
Filed under: uncultured Actinomycetes bacterium
Lineage: Bacteria; Bacillati; Actinomycetota; Actinomycetes
Description: bacterial SSU rRNA
Rfam family: Bacterial small subunit ribosomal RNA
Source: RNAcentral